ACUCAAAUGAAUUGACGGGGGCCCGCACAAGCGGUGGAGCAUGUGGUUCAAUUCGAAGCAACGCGAAGAACCUUACCAGCCCUUGACAUCCCGGUCGCGGAGAGCAGAGACGCACUCCUUCAGUUCGGCUGGACCGGAGACAGGUGCUGCAUGGCUGUCGUCAGCUCGUGUCGUGAGAUGUUGGGUUAAGUCCCGCAACGAGCGCAACCCUCGCCCUUAGUUGCCAUCAUUUAGUUGGGCACUCUAGGGGGACUGCCGGUGAUAAGCCGGAGGAAGGUGGGGAUGACGUCAAGUCCUCAUGGCCCUUACGGGCUGGGCUACACACGUGCUACAAUGGCGGUGACAGAGGGAUGCAAAGGGGCGACCCUUCGCAAAUCUCAAAAAACCGUCUCAGUUCGGAUUGGGGUCUGCAACUCGACCCCAUGAAGUUGGAAUCGCUAGUAAUCGCAGAUCAGCACGCUGCGGUGAAUACGUUCCCGGGCCUUGUACACACCGCCCGU
This 500-nucleotide ribosomal RNA is filed under the name uncultured bacterium. Its description in RNAcentral is "partial 16S ribosomal RNA". It matches the Rfam family "Bacterial small subunit ribosomal RNA", at positions 899 to 1397 of the family's 1533-position model. The record is from RNAcentral.